This 88-nucleotide transfer RNA is filed under the name Bacteroidota bacterium. RNAcentral's name for it is "tRNA-Ser". It matches the Rfam family "tRNA". From Rfam's summary of the family: Transfer RNA (tRNA) molecules are approximately 80 nucleotides in length. Their secondary structure includes four short double-helical elements and three loops (D, anti-codon, and T loops). Further hydrogen bonds mediate the characteristic L-shaped molecular structure. tRNAs have two regions of fundamental functional importance: the anti-codon, which is responsible for specific mRNA codon recognition, and the 3' end, to which the tRNAs corresponding amino acid is attached (by aminoacyl-tRNA synthetases). tRNAs cope with the degeneracy of the genetic code in two manners: having more than one tRNA (with a specific anti-codon) for a particular amino acid; and 'wobble' base-pairing, i.e. permitting non-standard base-pairing at the 3rd anti-codon position. The record is from RNAcentral. Lineage: Bacteria; Pseudomonadati; Bacteroidota. RNAcentral also lists the same sequence under 2 other names.
GGAGAGGUGUAGGAGUGGCUGAACUAGCACGCCUGGAAAGCGUGUGUUCCCCAAAAGGGAACCGGGGGUUCGAAUCCCCCUCUCUCCG